GAUCAUGGCUCAGGAUGAACGCUAGCUACAGGCUUAACACAUGCAAGUCGAGGGGCAGCAUGGUCUUAGCUUGCUAAGGCCGAUGGCGACCGGCGCACGGGUGAGUAACACGUAUCCAACCUGCCGUCUACUCUUGGACAGCCGUUCUGAAAGGAAGAUUAAUACAAGAUGGCAUCAUGAGUCCGCAUGUUCACAUGGAAUUAAAGGUAUUCCGGUAGACGAUGGGG
Molecule: ribosomal RNA, 227 nt
Filed under: uncultured bacterium
Lineage: Bacteria
Description: partial 16S ribosomal RNA
Rfam family: Bacterial small subunit ribosomal RNA
Source: RNAcentral